Molecule: RNA transcript, 822 nt
Organism: Brassica napus (rape)
Lineage: Eukaryota; Viridiplantae; Streptophyta; Magnoliopsida; Brassicales; Brassicaceae
Exons: 5
Source: RefSeq, a predicted model, not a curated record
GAGCACAAGUUUCUCUAAUCAAAAUUUGAUUUUGAGAUUUGAUGGGGUGUGUUCUUUUGUUUCAUAAGGUGAUGGGACAAGAGACUGUGACUGGUGGCUGGAACGACAAGUCCUCCAAGGCUGGUGGUGAUGUUGAGAAAAACAGAUUAGAGUUUGGAUCAGUUUAUCAACAGGAACAACAAGAGAGAGUUCAACCUUGUCAUCUGAGCUCUUCCAUCUAUUACGGUGGCCCUGAUGUUUAUUUCCAGCCUCAGAGUCAGAAUUCCAGCGCCAACUCUGCUGCGCAGAAGAAGAAAGAGGGAGGCGAAGAUGAUUCCGGAAGUGCUUCCAGAGGAAAUUGGUGGCAAGGGUCUCUGUAUUACUAAGUGGAGAUCUUACUACUUGAGCCAGUGUGUUAUACUACAAAGGCAGCAAGGUACAUAGGAAGAAGAAAAAGAAUAGAGGUAGCAGUGGAUCUCAGUUGGUAUUAGUAAAAACUUCUCAUCUUAUUAUUACAAAAAAAGUAUUAAGAAGUUUGUAAGGUUAGAUGCAAAAGACCAGGAAAGCUUGUCUGGGGGGGGGUUUUGUCGUGGUUUUAGUGAUUAACCCGACCGGUUCAAGAUUUAACUUUCCGUAGAAUAUGAAUAAGACAGUGAUAUGGGUUUUGUAAGAAAACUCUAGUAAGUUUCAAGUUUCCAUGCAUAUAAAUAAAAUCAACUGCUGUUGGUUCUAAAGUUUCAUUGAAGGAAACAGUUGUUAUUUUGCUAUGUAUUUUUUGAGUGAUGGUGUAGUUGGUCUGGUUAAAUCGGUUUGGAUUGCUAUAAAGGUUGUUGUUUCCCGCUU